UUUUUGUGUGUGCAAAUCAACAAAUCUUGUUUGCAAUCAAUGGCCCACAUUUGUGAGAGUAUUUUGUAAUAUAGUAUCUCAUAGAAAAUGUUGAUUCUGAAAGGAAACUAAAGGUUUUCUGACAAAUGUAGUGGGGUGUACUCAUUUAUGCUGAGCACUGUAUAUAUAUGGUGGUGCAGUGGUUAACACUGUUGCCUCACACCUCUGGGACCCAGGUUCGAGUCUCUGCCUGGAUUACAUGUGUGUGGAGUUUGCAUGUUCUCCCCGUGUCCUCGUGGGGUUUCCUCCGGGUACUCCGGUGUACCCCCACAAUCAAAAACAUGCUGAGGCUAAUUGGAGUUACUAAAUUGCCCAUAGGUGUGCAUGUGAGAGUGAAUGGUAUGUGAGUGUGACCUGUGAUGGGCUGGCCCCCCAUCCUAGGUUGUUCCCUGCCUCGUGCCCAUUUUAUUGACAUAAAAGUCUGUUCCUCUAAUUAUAGAAUAAUAUAUAGAAUAAUUAUACAAGAGCUAUAAUUAUUAUGAUGUUAUUAUUUAAUUGUGUGGGCCGUGUUGCUUGAUUACAUUUGACUCUUCGGCACGUGGGACGCUGCCGGUUUGAAAGACGCAGCUUCACUUGUUUUCUGCACCAAGAUGACGAGAAACAAACGAAUUGCAAAAGCUGUCAGCUGGAGCAACGAUCGAUACUGGGCAACUUGGGACAAGUGGAUGGAAGUGAUUGACUGGGAAGAUGAGGAAGAGCUGUGCUCCCCAGCAGAAUCACCCUCUGACCAGGCUGACCGUUCCAUCGUGUCACACACCCGAAAGCCAAUUGCCAAGGCAGUUAGCUGGACGGAUGAUGUGUAUUGGGCAGCCUGGGACAAGUGGGAUGAGAUCAUCUGCUGGGGUGAAGAAGGAGAGUGCUCCCCAGCAACUCCACCCAUCAACCAGCCUGGGAGGGAUAAGGGGUUAGACAUGCAUGGGUUAGAGGUUUUUCUGUUAAAUGAAAGGACAGUCUCCAUAAAGCCUGCAGAUGACCACCAAGACAGGCUGAAAAUAGGAGCCGUAGUGGUCGACCUCUGCCAGUUUGAGCUAGAUGGUGUAAAUGAUAAAUUUGAAAUUGUCGAAAUACAAAUUGGAGAGGUCAAAUUGGAGGAGACUGCAGAGAGGGGUUUUAAUUCAGAAUUUGAAUUGGAAAUUUUGGAUGUGGAGAUAGAGGUUGUAGACAGUGAAUUCCAGCUGAAUGCUCUUAAUUGGGAAAUUGCUGGAACUAAAGUGGACAAAUUAUUAGUGGAACACCUGAACAUAAAUAAUCUAGAAGCAGGCAGUGUGAAGGUGUCCACAUCAAAUGGGAAUGUGGUAUAUGUCAAUGGUAUGUGAGUGUGUUUGGUAAUGAUGGGUGUGAAUGGUGUGUGUAAGUGGUGUGUGUGUGUGUGUGUGUGUAUGAGAAUGGUGAUUGAAUGGUGUGUGUGAGGUAAUGGCGUGUGUGUGAGGUAAUGGCAUGUGUGAGUGAGUGUGAGUGGUAAUGGCGUGUGUGAGUGAAUGGUGUGUGUGAGUAUAUGGUGUAUGUGAAUGGUCUAUGUGUGUGUGAAUGGGGAGUGAAUGGUGUGUGAGUGACUGGUGUGUGUCUGGUGUUUAUGAAUGGUGUGUGUGAGUGAAUGCUGUGUGAAUGGUGUUCAUGAAUGGUGUGUGUGUGAGUGAAUGCUGUGUGAGUGACUGGUGUGUGAAUGGUGUUUAUGAAUGGUGUGUGAAUGAAUGGUGAGUUUUUGUGUGUGUGUUUGUGUGUGUGUGUGUGUGAAUGAUCUGUGUGUGUGAGCCUGCCCUGUGAUGGGUUGGUGUCCCAUCCUGGGUUGUUCCCUGCCUCGUGCCUGUAGCCUCUGGGAUCCAUCUGACCGCCUGUUCCAAAAGGCAAAUUGAUCCCCACAUCCCUGAACAGGAGAAGCGGUUUUAGAAAAUGGAUAAAUGUUCCCAGAGGUGUGAGGCAACAGUGCUAACCACUGUACCAUGCAUAUGUAUAGGAUAUGUAGAAGAAUACCUGUUGCAGUUAUCUGAUGUGUGUGUUUUUCACUCUCCCUGCCGGCCCCUGGAGGUUUGGGCUUCCCCUUUGAGUCUGGUGCCUCCCAAGGUUUCUUCCUUCUAGGGAGUUUUUCCUUGCCACUGUCGCCUAUGGCUUACUCACUGGGGGCUUUGGGUGGGGGUGCUCUAAAGCGCU
Brienomyrus brachyistius is the source of this 2187-nucleotide RNA transcript. RefSeq lists it as uncharacterized. The record is from RefSeq and is a predicted model, not a curated record. Lineage: Eukaryota; Metazoa; Chordata; Actinopteri; Osteoglossiformes; Mormyridae. The transcript is spliced from 3 exons.